Molecule: ribosomal RNA, 497 nt
Filed under: uncultured bacterium
Lineage: Bacteria
Description: partial 16S ribosomal RNA
Rfam family: Bacterial small subunit ribosomal RNA
Source: RNAcentral
GAUGAACGCUGGCGGCGUGCCUAAUACAUGCAAGUCGAGCGAACAGACGAGGAGCUUGCUCCUCUGACGUUAGCGGCGGACGGGUGAGUAACACGUGGAUAACCUACCUAUAAGACUGGGAUAACUUCGGGAAACCGGAGCUAAUACCGGAUAAUAUAUUGCACCGCAUGGUUCAAUAGUGAAAGACGGUUUUGCUGUCACUUAUAGAUGGAUCCGCGCCGCAUUAGCUAGUUGGUAAGGUAACGGCUUACCAAGGCGACGAUGCGUAGCCGACCUGAGAGGGUGAUCGGCCACACUGGAACUGAGACACGGUCCAGACUCCUACGGGAGGCAGCAGUAGGGAAUCUUCCGCGAUGGGCGAAAGCCUGACGGAGCAACGCCGCGUGAGUGAUGAAGGUCUUCGGAUCGUAAAACUCUGUUAUUAGGGAAGAACAAAUGUGUAAGUAACUAUGCACGUCUUGACGGUACCUAAUCAGAAAGCCACGGCUAACUACGUG